AAUUUUAACCAAUUUGUCAAUGAACAUACUUUAGGUCAGCAUUAUCUUGUGUUAUAAUGCUGUAGAUGAAAUGCAGCGCUCUGAUUGGUUGACAGUGAGUCACGUGGUGCACAUCAUUGAGUGAUGUACAGUUCUUGUUCCAUAUCACUGCGCACUAAGAGUAACGGUUUGACCGACCGUUAGUAUCAGCAAUGAGGUACUCGAGGCAGUACUUUAUGUACAGCCUCUUGUACCUUAUUGCUUAAUAAACGUCACGAAUGAAUUUGAAUCGCCUCCUUCCUUAUAAUGAACUAUGACACUAAUAGACGAAAUAUUUCCCUCAUACGGCACACAAAUGAACCCGUGACUUAACGUUAAACUACGAUAACAUAAAGGCUAACGCAGACUGUAUCCAUAUUAACUGAAAAGUUAGUUAGCUAACCAAGUUAGUUACCAAACUGACCAGUUCAUGCCAGUUCAGCACAUAACUUAAUACCGUUACAUAUUUGUCAUACUAAUGUGCUGCCAGCUUAGCGGCUAUGCUAUUGUUAGCCACGUUUUGCCGUUGUCAUACACAGGGAAUAUUUCACUCUUUCUUUAGUGUACACAUACUGCACGGGUUACAAACGGACGACAACGCCGUUUCACAACUAUAUAACUGUCAUUACACCAUCCAGAAUAUUAAAUCUAUAGUUGUCCUUUAAGAGCACUCGUAUCAUCAGCGAGAUACUAUAGUAUAAGCUGAUAAAUUGACAACAAGAUAUGGUCAAUACACGUGGUUAAUUUUUUGAAAUGUGAAAAGUUGAUUAAGUAAUGUUUUCCUAAGGCAUGAUAUGAAUUCACUAAUGAUUUUUUAGUACAUUAUAUGAGACUAAUUCGUGACACUAUUACCUUGUUAAAUCUAGUUUUGGAAAUAGCAACAUUAAGCUCCUACGCGGUGUAUCAGGCAAACACUUACGUCAGCAGCCAUUAUAUCCGACAUCAUCGGAGCGCUUUUGAACUCAUCACUGUCAAAAUCACUGUCAAAAAAACAUAUAAAAAAUUUGCGGCCAAAAGUCCGUCUCGCGCAAGCAAAAGUUGGUGAUUUGCCUCAGUCUUGUGAAAGCUGACAGAGAGAAUGGCCUUAAAGACGCUUUUGACGACGAAGCCUCCAACACCCUAUUUUCGCCCCCCGCCAAUCCACCUAUGUGUGGUGUUGGUGGUGGAGAAGCCCAGGGUGGUGGCCUGGGAGUUUGACUCAAAUGGUGCGAGACCAGCACAGACAAAAAUGAAUAUUCUGGCCGCACUAACCGAUGGAGAUUCAGUGGCCAAAGUCACUGUAUUCGAGGAGUUUGGCAAAAGACUUAAGGAGGGUGGGAGUUAUAAUGUAAAGAGGGCAGUCCCCCCCAUAUCAAUUAAAUAUAACUAAGGACACGCUGUUCUUUAGGAGCGCUCCUAUAGCGCUCAGCGCAGCGCUCAAACGGGAAGCAGAGCUUCUAAUACACCCCCCCUCUCCACUGACUCCGCUGAGCACCUGCCGGGAAGCCAGGGGCCUGAUAACCGUGGAGGGCGAGGUGGUCGAGCUGUCAGCUUUAAAAGAAAUCACGACAGGGAGAGACGUCGUUCCAUUGCGCAACGUCACGAUGCAGCAGGGGGAAUCACAGAUGUCGCUGUGUUUCUGGAGGGAGGCGGCCGUAUGGCAGCUGCAGGUGGGGCCCACAUUAAAGUUUCCCAUCUUAAAGCUGAGAGUUUAAACUAUGGGCUCAGACUCCAGUCCACAAACUUUUCCACCAUCGAGGAGGUACGCUCAGAGGACAUCGUGGGGGCACUCGGGGUGAUAGAGAUUGAGGGAGAUCCGGGGAACCUCAACCUUCUCCUAGAAGACGGCCGUACCGUCUUAAUUGAGGAGAGAUUGUGGGAGCCAAUCGAACUUGUUAUGAUCGAACCCGUAAUAAAAGUUCAAAUAAAAAUGACAGGAAACAAGGUGCAGGCGAUGGAAGUGGCGAAAAAUUUAAAUUUCUACUGUUAUAAAAUGUAUAUGUUUAUAAGAUUGUGUUCAUAAUGUAUCAGUUAUGUGUUCAUUUUGUUUUGACUUGUUACUUAUGUUCAAUUGUUUUUUACGCUUGUUUAUAAUAAUAAUAAUAAUAAUUUGUU
Molecule: long non-coding RNA, 2112 nt
Organism: Gasterosteus aculeatus aculeatus (three-spined stickleback)
Lineage: Eukaryota; Metazoa; Chordata; Actinopteri; Perciformes; Gasterosteidae
Source: Ensembl